CUUGUUGGCUGCAGUGUUUCACAUAAGUGAACUGGUAGAUGACCCAUCUUUGGAGACAUUUGAGGUCAGGCUGGACAGGGCUCUGAGCACCUGAUCAAGCUGUGGGUGUCCCUGUUCGUUGCAGGGGAGAUGGACCAGAUCGCCUUUAAGUGUCCCUUCCAACUCAAGUGAUUCUGUGAACUGGGAGCCUGAGUUGUUCUUAUCUGCCAUCAAGCCUUCCUCCCACUGCCACCAACACAGGCAAAUCACUGUUGUUAUUAUCAGAUACUGCUAGUAUUGAGAACAGUUAAACAGUCUUCGCAGAAUAUAAUCAUCUCAAUUGAUGCUGAAUCUGAAGUUUCCAGUAUUAAAUCAGCAUCGAAACGUGCAAUUCUGAUUUCAAUUCUAUUUAUAUUUGCAUGGGGAAAAUCUGAAGUUGGUGUGGGAAAAACCUGUUCAUUCUGAUGGUCUCGUGCUCUGGAAUUACUUCUGCAGAACUGAAGAUAUCCUCCUGCCAGAGGUCCCUGAGGAGCACUGUAAAGACACAAUGCAGAGACAAGCCUGCAAUGCCAAGCCACCUUCAUCAUUGUCCUUCUGCUCCUCAGAUAAACCCAAGACCCUAAGAUGGGAAGUAUUGGGAGAAAAAAUAGAGGCAUGGCGAGGGAACAGCAGAAAAAUGUUCAUAAUGAGGUCAAAACACUGCUGGGCAGUGAUUCUGCUCCUGUUCCUGGGUACCGCCAAGCUCUUCUCGCACCCGCUGAAAUCUAAUGGAAACUGUUAAAUUUUGCAUAACAUCCAACUGAGUUCUGCCAGACCUCUGUGAACAGGAAGCAACAGGUUGAGCGCGAGCAGAGGGACCGCACAUCUCAAGUAAAGAAAUUGACUCAUUACUCUGCAGUACAGUCACCGGAGCCAUGUGGGGAUAGAAAACAAAGUGAUGAAUCAGGCCCAGCGUUUGCUGCAAGUUUAGACUGCUGUCUGGUUGGCAAAUAGCUCUGAAACCAGUCCCAGUGCUGCAUUCUGCCAAGGCUUCCAUAGCUGAUACGAAGAAGUCUGGAAAGCCACCUCCACGCCCUGAUGUAGCACUACAGCACAGCCCUGAAGUGGCAGCUGUGAAAUGCAGAACAGCCAGACAAAGCUGGUAACACGUUUGUACAGCCUGGGGUGUCAGGAGGAAUCAGCUCCACAGAGCGGACGAGGAGACAGAGAAGUGAAGUUUUUGGUUCUCUCCUUGGUUUACUACAUUGCGAAGCAAGCUGUCCUCGAGUCCUCUGGGAAGCCUUUCUGCACAACCAUUAUCCCUCUCUUCGAGUCUGAAAAGGAAUUACUGCACGUGAAUCUGGCGAGGUUUGGAGAAGCACUGAAGGGUUCUUGCAUUAUGGACGUCAAAGUGUGACCCCACGAUUGCCAGAGGCCACCUAGCACCUCCCUCCAGAAGCACGCAUGAAGCUAAGUAUUGUUGAGCAAAGAUGGGCCAACAAGGAUCCAAUAUGGAGAGACAUCACCACUUCAUCCUGUGAAGCCAGCCACUUUGCUGAGUAUCAGGUCUUGACCACAGAGGGUGGUUAGUGAGCAGCACUGCAGUACACACAACCCAACCUGCUGCAAAAUGACUCCCCCAGAUGGAUCCCCUCCAAUGAGGAUAAUAUAAGUCAGACAUUAGAAGGUGGGGCACAACGCCGUGCUUGGGAAGAUGCUUUCCUUUGAAAUAAGGCUGAGCUACGAGGAAAAUUGCCUGCACAAGAGAUUUGCUGAAUUUAAGUGUGCGGAGCUCUGGGACAGCUGUGGGGCAGACGAUGGAGCGGUGUUCUCACCC
Gallus gallus (chicken) is the source of this 1795-nucleotide long non-coding RNA. Lineage: Eukaryota; Metazoa; Chordata; Aves; Galliformes; Phasianidae. The record is from Ensembl.